GCCCAGGUGGUGAAAUUGGUAGACACGCCAUCUUGAGGGGGUGGUGCGAGUAAUCGCGUGCAAGUUCGAAUCUUGUUCUGGGCACUA
RNAcentral lists this transfer RNA (87 nucleotides) under Bacteroidota bacterium. RNAcentral describes it as "Bacteroidetes bacterium tRNA-Leu". It matches the Rfam family "tRNA". Rfam says of the family: Transfer RNA (tRNA) molecules are approximately 80 nucleotides in length. Their secondary structure includes four short double-helical elements and three loops (D, anti-codon, and T loops). The record is from RNAcentral. Lineage: Bacteria; Pseudomonadati; Bacteroidota.